UCAACAGUUCUUUUCAGAACUAUCAACAAUUCUUUUCAGAACUAU
Non-coding RNA from Lasius niger, 45 nucleotides. The record is from Rfam. NCBI's taxonomy places the organism in Eukaryota, Metazoa, Arthropoda, Insecta, Hymenoptera, Formicidae.